This 468-nucleotide ribosomal RNA is filed under the name uncultured bacterium. RNAcentral describes it as "partial 16S ribosomal RNA". It matches the Rfam family "Bacterial small subunit ribosomal RNA", at positions 28 to 507 of the family's 1533-position model. The record is from RNAcentral.
GACGAACGCUGGCGGCGUGCUUAACACAUGCAAGUCGAACGGAAAGGCCCUGCUUUUGUGGUGUGCUCGAGUGGCGAACGGGUGAGUAACACGUGAGUAACCUGCCCUUGACUUUGGGAUAACUUCAGGAAACUGGGGCUAAUACCGGAUAGGAGCUCCUGCUGCAUGGUGGGGGUUGGAAAGUUUCGGCGGUUGGGGAUGGACUCGCGGCUUAUCAGCUUGUUGGUGGGGUAGUGGCUUACCAAGGCUUUGACGGGUAGCCGGCCUGAGAGGGUGACCGGCCACAUUGGGACUGAGAUACGGCCCAGACCCCUACGGGAGGCAGCAGUGGGGAAUAUGGCACAAUGGGCGGAAGCCUGAUGCAGCAACGCCGCGUGCGGGAUGACGGCCUUCGGGUUGUAACCCGCUUUCGCCGGUGACGAAGCGUGAGUGACGGUAAUGAGUAAAGAAGCACCGGCUAACUACGUG